GACGUAGGGCGCGAGCGUUGUCCGGAUUUAUUGGGCGUAAAGAGCUCGUAGGCGGUUUGUCGCGUCUGCCGUGAAAGUCCGGGGCUCAACUCCGGAUCUGCGGUGGGUACGGGCAGACUAGAGUGAUGUAGGGGAGACUGGAAUCCUGGUGUAGCGGUGAAAUGCGCAGAUAUCAGGAGGAACACCGAUGGCGAAGGCAGGUCUCUGGGCAUUAACUGACGCUGAGGAGCGAAAGCAUGGGGAGCGAACAGG
RNAcentral lists this ribosomal RNA (252 nucleotides) under uncultured bacterium. RNAcentral describes it as "partial 16S ribosomal RNA". It matches the Rfam family "Bacterial small subunit ribosomal RNA", at positions 524 to 776 of the family's 1533-position model. The record is from RNAcentral.